Molecule: ribosomal RNA, 433 nt
Filed under: uncultured bacterium
Lineage: Bacteria
Description: partial 16S ribosomal RNA
Rfam family: Bacterial small subunit ribosomal RNA
Source: RNAcentral
AACGAACGCUGGCGGCAUGCCUAACACGUGCAAGUCGAACGAGACCUUCGGGUCUAGUGGCGCACGGGUGCGUAACGCGUGGGAACCUGCCCUUAGGUUCGGAAUAACUCCCCGAAAGGGGUGCUAAUACCGGAUAAUGUCUUCGGACCAAAGAUUUAUCGCCUUUGGAUAGGCCCGCGUUGGAUUAGCUAGUUGGUAGGGUAAAAGCCUACCAAGGCGACGAUCCAUAGCUGGUCUGAGAGGAUGAUCAGCCACACUGGGACUGAGACACGGCCCAGACUCCUACGGGAGGCAGCAGUGGGGAAUAUUGGACAAUGGGCGAAAGCCUGAUCCAGCAAUGCCGCGUGAGUGAUGAAGGCCUUAGGGUUGUAAAGCUCUUUUACCCGGGAUGAUAAUGACAGUACCGGGAGAAUAAGCUCCGGCUAACUCCGUG